GACGAACGCUGGCGGCGUGCUUAACACAUGCCAGUCGAACGGAAAGGCCCUGCUUUUGUGGGGUGCUCGAGUGGCGAACGGGUGAGUAACACGUGUGUAACCUGCCCUUGACUUUGGGAUAACUUUAGGAAACUGGGGCUAAUACCGGAUAGGAGAUCCUGCUGCAUGGUGGGGGUUGGAAAGUUUCGGCGGGUGGGGAUGGAGUCGUGGCAUAUCAGCUUGUUGGGGGGGUAGUGGCUUACCAAGGCUUUGACGGGAAGCCGGCCUGAGAGGGUGACCGGCCACGUUGGGACUGGAAUACGGCCCAGACUCCUACGGGAGGCAGCGGUGGGGAAUAUUGCACAAUGGGCGGAGGCCUGAUGCAGCAACGCCGCGUGCGGGAUGACGUCCUUCGGGUUGUAAACCGCUUUCGCCUGUGACGAGGCGUGAGUGACGGUAAUGGGUAAAGAAGCACCGGCUAACUACGUG
Molecule: ribosomal RNA, 468 nt
Filed under: uncultured bacterium
Lineage: Bacteria
Description: partial 16S ribosomal RNA
Rfam family: Bacterial small subunit ribosomal RNA
Source: RNAcentral